GAUGAACGCUGGCGGCGUGCCUAAUACAUGCAAGUCGAGCGAACGGACGAGAAUCUUGCUUCUCUGAUGUUAGCGGCGGACGGGUGAGUAACACGUGGAUAACCUACCUAUAUGACUGGGAUAACUUCGGGAAACCGGAGCUAAUACCGUAUAAUCUUUUGAACCGCAUGGUUCAAAAGUGAAAGACGGUCUUGCUGUCACUUAUAGCUGGAUCCGCGCUGCAUUAGCUAGUUGGUAAGGUAACGGCUUACCAAGGCAACGAUGCAUAGCCGACCUGAGAGGGUGAUAGGCCACACUGGAACUGAGACACGGUCCAGACUCCUAAGGGAGGCAGCAGUAGGGAAUCGUACGCAAUGGGCGAGAGCCUGACGGAGCAACGCCGCGUGAGUGAUGAAGGUCUUCGGAUCGUAAAAAUCUGUUAUGAGGGAAGAACAUAUGUGGAAGGAACUGUGCACAGAGUGACGGUACCUAAUCAGAAAGCAACGGCUAACUACGUG
This 497-nucleotide ribosomal RNA is filed under the name uncultured bacterium. Its description in RNAcentral is "partial 16S ribosomal RNA". It matches the Rfam family "Bacterial small subunit ribosomal RNA", at positions 28 to 507 of the family's 1533-position model. The record is from RNAcentral.